GACGAAGGUGGCAAGCGUUAUUCGAAAUCACUGGGCUUAAAGGGUGCGUAGGCGGAACUGUAAGUGUCAUGUGAAAUCCCUCGGCUUAACCGAGGAAUGGCUUGGCAAACUACAGUUCUUGAGGCAAGUAGGGGUGUGUGGAACUCUUGGUGGAGCGGUGGAAUGCGUAGAUAUCAAGAGGAACGCCGAAGGUGAAGACAGCACACUGGACUUGUUCUGACGCUGAGGCACGAAAGCGUGGGGAGCGAACAGGAUUAGAUACCCCCGUA
Molecule: ribosomal RNA, 269 nt
Filed under: uncultured prokaryote
Description: partial 16S ribosomal RNA
Rfam family: Bacterial small subunit ribosomal RNA
Source: RNAcentral